Molecule: ribosomal RNA, 300 nt
Filed under: uncultured bacterium
Lineage: Bacteria
Description: bacterial SSU rRNA
Rfam family: Bacterial small subunit ribosomal RNA
Source: RNAcentral
ACUUACCUACGGGACGCAGCAGUGGGGAAUUUUGCGCAAUGGGGGAAACCCUGACGCAGCAACGCCGCGUGCGGGACGAAGGCCCUCGGGCUGUAAACCGCUUUCAGCAGGGAAGACGUCGACGGUACCUGCAGAAGAAGCUCCGGCUAACUACGUGCCGGCAGCCGCGGUAAUACGUAGGGGACGAGCGUUAUCCGGAUUCAUUGGGCGUAAAGCGCGCGCAGGCGGCCGCCUAAGCGGAACCUCUAACCCCGGGGCUCAACCUCGGGCCGGGGUCCGGACUGGGCGGCUCGCGUGCGG